GCCAGCAUGGCAUGGUGGUUUGAGUGCAGGACUAUGACUCUGGAGACCAGGGUUUGAUUCCCAGGUCAGCCA
Molecule: transfer RNA, 72 nt
Filed under: Phrynosoma platyrhinos (Desert horned lizard)
Lineage: Eukaryota; Metazoa; Chordata; Lepidosauria; Squamata; Phrynosomatidae
Description: tRNA-OTHER
Source: RNAcentral